Helianthus annuus (common sunflower) is the source of this 282-nucleotide long non-coding RNA. RefSeq lists it as uncharacterized. Lineage: Eukaryota; Viridiplantae; Streptophyta; Magnoliopsida; Asterales; Asteraceae. The transcript has 3 exons. The record is from RefSeq and is a predicted model, not a curated record.
UUCUCCUUCAUAACCCUAGUUCUUCAAUUCCCAACAAAAUUGAAGGAGUAAAAGGCUGAGAUUUCAAUGCAUGAGCUAGGAAUCAUGAUCCCCUAAGUGUUAUAAGUGUCAAGCACGAAGAAGGAAGAAGGCGCAAGUCACUCGAAGUCACAAGCAUCUCAAGAUCGCGGUAAAUCCCUUGCUUGAUUGCGACGCGCUCGGACCGAACACACAAUAUCGACUUUUUUUUACACGCUUCCGGUUCAAGUUGUCUAUUAUGUAUGGGUCAAAGUUUUCUUUUUG